UACGUAGGGGGCAAGCGUUGUCCGGAUUUAUUGGGCGUAAAGAGCGUGUAGGCGGUCAGGUAGGUCCGUUGUGAAAACUCGAGGCUCAACCUCGAGACGCCGAUGGAAACCAUCUGACUAGAGUCCGGAAGAGGAGACUGGAAUUCCUGGUGUAGCGGUGAAAUGCGCAGAUAUCGGGAAGAACACCUAUGGCGAAGGCAGCUCUCUGGGACGGUACUGACGCUGAGACGCGAAAGCGUGGGGAGCGAACAGG
RNAcentral lists this ribosomal RNA (253 nucleotides) under uncultured bacterium. RNAcentral describes it as "partial 16S ribosomal RNA". It matches the Rfam family "Bacterial small subunit ribosomal RNA", at positions 524 to 776 of the family's 1533-position model. The record is from RNAcentral.